GACGAACGUUGGCGGCGUGCUUAAUACAUGCAAGUCAACUGAAGCACCGGUAGUAAUACUGGUGUGGAGGUGGCGCACGGGUGAGUAACACGUAGGUAAUCUGCCUUCAGGUCUGACAUAACCCCGAGAAAUCGGGGCUAAUAGCAGAUGAUGCAGCGGCUUGACAUCAAGACAGUUGUUAAAGCUUCGGCGCCUGAAGAUGAGCCUGCGUCUGAUUAGCUAGUUGGCGGAGUAAUAGCCCACCAAGGCGACGAUCAGUAGCUGGUCUGAGAGGAUGAUCAGCCACACUGGAACUGAGACACGGUCCAGACUCCUACGGGAGGCAGCAGUAAGGAAUAUUGCUCAAUGGGAGAAAUCCUGAAGCAGCAACGCCGCGUGAGGGAUGAAGGGCUUUUGCUCGUAAACCUCUGUAGUGAGGGAAAAAAUUUCCAUUCUAUGGAAUAUGAUGGUA
This 451-nucleotide ribosomal RNA is filed under the name uncultured bacterium. RNAcentral describes it as "bacterial SSU rRNA". It matches the Rfam family "Bacterial small subunit ribosomal RNA", at positions 28 to 477 of the family's 1533-position model. The record is from RNAcentral.